GGUGAACGCUGGCGGCGUGCCUAAUACAUGCAAGUCGAGCGGGGCAGGUUUAUACCUGUUCAGCGGCGGACGGGUGAGUAACGCGUGGGUGACCUACCCGGAAGAAGCGGACAACCUGGGGAAACCCAGGCUAAUCCGCCAUGUGGCCCUAUCCUGUGGGGUAGGACUAAAUGGGCGACCCGCUUCCGGAUUGGCCCGCGUCCCAUCAGCUAGUUGGUGGGGUAAAGGACCACGAAGGCGACGACGGGUAGCCGGUCUGAGAGGAUGGCCGGCCACAGGGGCACUGAGCCACGGGCCCCAGUCCCACGGGAGGCAGCAGUGAGGAAGCUGCCGGAAUGGACGGGAGUCUGACGGAGAGACGCCGCGUGGAGGAGGAAGUCAUUCGGGGUGUAAAGUGCUGAACUGGGGACGAAAGCCCUGUGUAGGGGGAGGACGGUACCAAGGUAAUAGCGCCGGCUAACUCCGUG
RNAcentral lists this ribosomal RNA (467 nucleotides) under uncultured bacterium. RNAcentral's name for it is "partial 16S ribosomal RNA". It matches the Rfam family "Bacterial small subunit ribosomal RNA", at positions 28 to 507 of the family's 1533-position model. The record is from RNAcentral.